GACGAACGCUGGCGGCGUGCUUAACACAUGCAAGUCGAGCGGUAAGGCCCUUCGGGGUACACGAGCGGCGAACGGGUGAGUAACACGUGGGUGACCUGCCCUCCACUCUGGGAUAAGCCUGGGAAACCGGGUCUAAUACCGGAUAGGACUCCUGGAUGCAUGUCUGGGGGUGGAAAGUUUUUUCGGUGGGGGAUGGGCCCGCGGUCUAUCAGCUUGUUGGUGGGGUGAUGGCCUACCAAGGCGACGACGGAUAGCCGGCCUGAGAGGGUGAUCGGCCACACUGGGACUGAGACACGGCCCAGACUCCUACGGGAGGCAGCAGUGGGGAAUCUUGCGCAAUGGGCGGAAGCCUGACGCAGCAACGCCGCGUGGGGGAUGACGGCCUUCGGGUUGUAAACCUCUUUCAGCAGGGACGAAGCGCAAGUGACGGUACCUGCAGAAGAAGCACCGGCUAACUACGUGCCAGCAGCCGCAGUAAAC
Molecule: ribosomal RNA, 480 nt
Filed under: uncultured bacterium
Lineage: Bacteria
Description: bacterial SSU rRNA
Rfam family: Bacterial small subunit ribosomal RNA
Source: RNAcentral